This is a long non-coding RNA of Dreissena polymorpha, 1357 nucleotides long. RefSeq lists it as uncharacterized. The record is from RefSeq and is a predicted model, not a curated record. Lineage: Eukaryota; Metazoa; Mollusca; Bivalvia; Myida; Dreissenidae. The transcript has 2 exons.
UGUAUUAUUAUACGCCCGUCUAUGACGGGACGUAUUAUGGUAUACCCCGCGUCCGUCCGUCCGUCUGUUAAUGUCGUACGCUACGUCAAAUAUCCUUUGACAGAUUUUCUUCAAAUUUUAACACAAUCUUAAUAUUGAUAAACCCUGAUCCCCUUUCGUUUUUGACCGAAUUCUGAAUUGUCGUUCCAGAGUUAUGGGACUUUGUUCGUCAAAAUUUCGUGAUUUCAUUGAAUGUCCUACUGUAGCUAUAUAAAAAUGUUAAAGUUGUUAUAACUUUGGUAUGCUUGGACCUAGAGUCUUGAAACUUGACAUGAAGGUUGGCCAGAACUAGUAAGUAACCACUGGACAUUUCAAGGUCAUUCAUUUGAAGGUCAAGGUCACUGUGACCUUGAAUGUAAAAAUGUUAAAGUUGUUAUAACUUUGGUAUGCUUGGACCUAGAGUCUUGAAACUUGACAUGAAGGUUGGCCAGAACUAGUAAGUAACCCCUGGACAUUUCAAGGUCAUUCAUUUGAAGGUCAAGGUCACUGUGACCUUGAAUGUAAAAAUGUUAAAGUUCUUAUUUCAUGUUAUUACUUUGGUAUGCUUGUACCUAGAGUCUUCAAACUUGAAAUAAAGAUUGGCCAGUACUAGAAGAUGACCACUGGUCAUUUCAAUGUCAUUCAUUUGAAGGUCAAGGUCACUGUGACCUUAAAUGUUAAAAUGUUAAAAUUGUUAUAACUUUGGUAUGCUUGGACAUAGAGUCUUCAAACUUGACAUGAAGGUUUGCAAGCACACUUAGAUGACCACUGGUCAUUUCAAGGUCAUUCAUUCUAAGGUCAAGGUCACUGUGACCUUAAAUGUUAUUGUUGUUCAUGUAUCCUACCGUAGCUCAAAUAUCCCCCGAUGGAUUUUUUAUACGCCCGUCUAUGACGGGACGUAUUAUGGUAUACCCCGCGUCCGUCUGUCCGUCCGUCCGUCCGUCCGUCCGUCUGUUAAUGUCGUACGCUACGUCAAAUAUCCUUUGACAGAUUUUCUUCAAAUUUUAACACAAUCUUAAUAUUGAUAAACCCUGAUCCCCUUUCGUUUUUGACGGAAUUCUGAAUUGUCGUUCCAGAGUUAUGGGACUUUGUUCGUCAAAAUUUCGUGAUUUCAUUGAAUGUCCUACUGUAGCUCAAAUAUCCUUCGAUGGAUUUUUUUCAAAUUUCAACACAAUCUUAAUAUUGAUAAACCCUGAUCCCCUUUCGUUUUUGACGGAAUUCUGAAUUGUCGUUCCAGAGUUAUGGGACUUUGUUCGUCAAAAUUUCGUGAUUUCCAUGCUCAUGUACUUAUAAAAUAAACCAUGUAUUCAAAUACAAAUAAACUGAAGUAAAAAAAUGA